RNAcentral lists this ribosomal RNA (406 nucleotides) under uncultured bacterium. RNAcentral's name for it is "bacterial SSU rRNA". It matches the Rfam family "Bacterial small subunit ribosomal RNA", at positions 355 to 776 of the family's 1533-position model. The record is from RNAcentral.
UGGGGAAUAUUGGGCAAUGGGCGCAAGCCUGACCCAGCAAUGCCGCGUGAAGGAAGAAGGCUUUCGGGUUGUAAACUUCUUUUAAGAGGGAAGAGCAGAAGACGGUACCUCUUGAAUAAGCCACGGCUAACUACGUGCCAGCAGCCGCGGUAAUACGUAGGUGGCAAGCGUUGUCCGGAUUUACUGGGUGUAAAGGGCGUGUAGCCGGGUUCAUAAGUCAGAUGUGAAAUCUGGAGGCUUAACCUCCAAACUGCAUUUGAAACUGUGGAUCUUGAGUACUGGAGAGGCAGACGGAAUUCCUAGUGUAGCGGUGAAAUGCGUAGAUAUUAGGAGGAACACCAGUGGCGAAGGCGGUCUGCUGGACAGCAACUGACGGUGAGGCGCGAAAGCGUGGGGAGCAAACAGG